This 504-nucleotide ribosomal RNA is filed under the name uncultured bacterium. Its description in RNAcentral is "bacterial SSU rRNA". It matches the Rfam family "Bacterial small subunit ribosomal RNA", at positions 162 to 697 of the family's 1533-position model. The record is from RNAcentral.
GCUAAUGUGCCAUACGUCGCAAGAUGAAAGCAGCAAUGCGCUCGAGGAUGAGCCCGCGCCCGAUUAGCUAGUUGGUGGGGUAAAAGCCCACCAAGGCACCGAUCGGUAGCUGGUCUGAGAGGACGAUCAGCCACAAUGGGACUGAGACACGGCCCAUACUCCUACGGGAGGCAGCAGUGGGGAAUUUUACACAAUGGGCGAAAGCCUGAUGUAGCGACACCGCGUGAGCGAAGAAGCCCUUCGGGGUGUAAAGCUCUGUCAGCAGGGACGAAUAAAUGACGGUACCUGCAGAGGAAGCAUCGGCUAACUACGUGCCAGCAGCCGCGGUAAGACGUAGGAUGCAAGCGUUGUCCGGAUUUAUUGGGCGUAAAGAGUUCGUAGGCGGUUCGUUAAGUCUGGUGUUAAAUACUGGGGCCCAACCCUGGGAUCGCACUGGAUACUGGCGAACUCGAGUGCAGUAGAGGCAAGCGGAAUUCCCAGUGUAGCGGUGAAAUGCGUAGAUAU